GGCAUGAACUGUGACUUCUUUUAUGUUUGUACAGCACAUGUCACGUUGUGGGCACUACUAGAAACAAAUAAUAGGUAAUAAACAAUUUUUUGUAUUUAAUUAUAGAACAUAUAAAAUAUCACACACUAAACAGGAUAGAUCGAAUUUGAAAUAAUACAUAUUUAGAAAUGAAGUAAUGUGUUGCAUCAGAUAUUGAUAUUUCAUUCCCUAAAAAUGGUAUACAUGUUCCCUGUUCCAUGCAACAUUUCACUUUUAAAGUAUUUUAACUAGAGAUUAUGCCAAAUCAAAACUUUGGAUUUGGGAAGUUCAGGUCUGGAUCUGAACUUUGGACAGCAGUAAUAAUCAUGAUACUGAAUACAUAUAUAGCACCUUUUCAUCUUAAAGAGCUUUACCAAGCCCAGUAAGCAUUAUGCCUAUUUUACAGAUGGGGAAGGUGAGCACUGAGUGGGUCAGUGUUGUUCAAGGUCAUCUGUUCCCAGAGCUCAAUGUCUCUUGAUUCUCUCACAGAUAUCCUAUCCACUGAAACACCUGGUUUGCAUUUUGAUCAAAGAUUAGGACAGAAAAGAAGCAAUUCACCAUUGGAACAAACAGCUACGGGAAGUGGUGAAUUCUCCAUCUCUUGAUAUCUUCAAAUCAAAACUAGUGCUUUCUGGAAGAUUUGCUUUAGAAAAAACACACAUUAUUGGGUCUACAGAAGUGCCUGGGUGAAUUUAAUGGCCUGCGAUAUACAGGAGGUCAGACUAGAUGAUCCAAAGGUCCCUUCUAGUCUUAAAUGUUAUGAAUUUUGGAGUCUUCCAGGUGGUGCAGCAAUCUACUAUUACAAACACAUUAAAAAUUAGGCAUGUGGUUUUUGCCUUCA
Molecule: long non-coding RNA, 859 nt
Organism: Gopherus flavomarginatus (Mexican gopher tortoise)
Lineage: Eukaryota; Metazoa; Chordata; Testudines; Testudinidae
Exons: 2
Source: RefSeq, a predicted model, not a curated record